Molecule: small RNA, 134 nt
Filed under: Hyphomicrobium sulfonivorans
Lineage: Bacteria; Pseudomonadati; Pseudomonadota; Alphaproteobacteria; Hyphomicrobiales; Hyphomicrobiaceae
Description: rpsB sRNA
Rfam family: rpsB sRNA
Source: Rfam by way of RNAcentral
CACACGCGAACUUUCGCGUCAGACGGAUUGAAAGCCCCGUCCGGCGCUCCGGUGGAUCGCUCUCUAACCCUCAGGGUCGGUGAAGCGUUCUUGCUCUGGGUUCGCGGAGGAUUAACCGGAAAAGGAAGAGACAU